This 378-nucleotide unclassified non-coding RNA is filed under the name plant metagenome. Its description in RNAcentral is "partial contains 5.8S ribosomal RNA, internal transcribed spacer 2, and large subunit ribosomal RNA". The stretch from base 1 to 105 matches the Rfam family "5.8S ribosomal RNA", at positions 50 to 154 of the family's 154-position model. The record is from RNAcentral.
GAAAUGCGAUAAGUAAUGUGAAUUGCAGAAUUCAGUGAAUCAUCGAAUCUUUGAACGCACCUUGCGCUCCUUGGUAUUCCUUGGAGCAUGCCUGUUUGAGUUUCAUGAAAUCUUCAAAGUAAAUCUUUUGUUAACUCAAUUGGUUUCUACUUUGGUAUUGGAGGUCUUUGCAGCUUCACACCUGCUCCUCUUUGUUCAUUAGCUGGAUCUCAGUGUUAUGCUUGGUUCCACUCGGCGUGAUAAGUUAUCUAUCGCUGAGGACACUGUAAAAGGUGGCCAAGGUAAAUGCAGAUGAACCGCUUCUAAUAGUCCAUUGACUUGGACAAUACUUUUAUGAUCUGAUCUCAAAUCAGGUAAGACUACCCGCUGAACUUAAGC